UACUCCUACGGGAGGCAGCAGUGGGGAAUAUUGCGCAAUGGGGGGAACCCUGACGCAGCCAUGCCGCGUGAAUGAAGAAGGCCUUCGGGUUGUAAAGUUCUUUCGGUAUUGAGGAAGGUUGAUGUGUUAAUAGCACAUCAAAUUGACGUUAAAUACAGAAGAAGCACCGGCUAACUCCGUGCCAGCAGCCGCGGUAAUACGGAGGGUGCGAGCGUUAAUCGGAAUAACUGGGCGUAAAGGGCACGCAGGCGGUUAUUUAAGUGAGGUGUGAAAGCCCUGGGCUUAACCUAGGAAUUGCAUUUCAGACUGGGUAACUAGAGUACUUUAGGGAGGGGUAGAAUUCCACGUGUAGCGGUGAAAUGCGUAGAGAUGUGGAGGAAUACCGAAGGUGAAGGCAGCCCCUUGGGAAUGUACUGACGCUCAUGUGCGAAAGCGUGGGGAGCAAACAGGAUUAGAUACCCUGGUAGUCCACGCUGUAAACGCUGUCGAUUUGGGGGUUGGGGUUUAACUCUGGCGCCCGUAGCUAACGUGAUAAAUCGACCGCCUGGGGAGUACGGCCGCAAGGUUAAAACUCAAAUGAAUUGACGGA
RNAcentral lists this ribosomal RNA (589 nucleotides) under uncultured bacterium. RNAcentral's name for it is "bacterial SSU rRNA". It matches the Rfam family "Bacterial small subunit ribosomal RNA", at positions 334 to 917 of the family's 1533-position model. The record is from RNAcentral.